RNAcentral lists this transfer RNA (66 nucleotides) under Ostrea lurida. Its description in RNAcentral is "tRNA-Leu". The record is from RNAcentral. Lineage: Eukaryota; Metazoa; Mollusca; Bivalvia; Ostreida; Ostreidae.
AGCCAAGUUAGUAUGAUUUAGUACAUCGAAUUUAGGUUUCGAAAGAAGAGUAGCUCUACCUGGUUG